This 465-nucleotide ribosomal RNA is filed under the name uncultured bacterium. RNAcentral's name for it is "partial 16S ribosomal RNA". It matches the Rfam family "Bacterial small subunit ribosomal RNA", at positions 28 to 507 of the family's 1533-position model. The record is from RNAcentral.
GACGAACGCUGGCGGCGUGCUUAACACAUGCAAGUCGAACGGAAAGGCCCUGCUUGCAGGGUACUCGAGUGGCGAACGGGGGAGUAACACGUGGGUGCUCUGCUCUGAACUUCGGGCUACGCCUGGGUAACUGGGUCUAAUACCGGCUAGGAGCCAUUUUUGUUGUGAUGGUUGGAAAGUUUUUUCAGUGUAGGUUGAGCUUGCGGCCUAUCAGCUUGUUUGUUGGGUAAGUGCCUACCAAGGCGGCGCCGGGAGGCCGGCCUGAGAGGGUGGACUGCCACAUGGGGACUGAGAUAAGGCCCAGAAGCCUACGGGAAGCAGCAGUGGGGAAUAUUGCACAAUGGGCGCAAGCCUGAUGCAACGACGCCGCGUGGAGGAUGACGGCCUUCGGGUUGUAAACUCCUUUCGCUAGGGACGAAGCUUUUUGUGAAGGUACCUAGAUAAGAAGCACCGGCUAACUACGUG